This 333-nucleotide unclassified non-coding RNA is filed under the name uncultured Glomerales. RNAcentral's name for it is "sequence contains 18S rRNA gene". The record is from RNAcentral. Lineage: Eukaryota; Fungi; Glomeromycota; Glomeromycetes; Glomerales; Glomeraceae.
CCCAACUAUCCCUAUUAAUCAUUACGUCAACCCUAGAAACCAACAAAAUAGGAUCGAUCGUCCUAUUUCAUUAUUCCAUGCUAAUGUAUUCAAGCGUUAGCUUGCUUUAAACACUCUAAUUUUUUCAAAGUAACAGUCCUGUUUCCCCGCAACACCAACUUAAUGGCAUUACGGUUCUACAAGAGGGAGGAAUCAGCGAGACCAGUGCAUACCAGUGGCACGACCAACCUGCUGACCCCGAAAUUCAACUACGAGCUUUUUAACUGCAACAACUUUAAUAUACGCUAUUGGAGCUGGAAUUACCGCGGCUGCUGGCACCAGACUUGCCCCCAA